GAGGGUAUAGCUCAGCAGGUAGAGUGCUAUACCUAGCAUGCACGAGGUCCUGGGUUCAAUCCCCAGUACUUCCA
This 74-nucleotide transfer RNA is filed under the name Camelus bactrianus (Bactrian camel). It matches the Rfam family "tRNA". Rfam says of the family: Transfer RNA (tRNA) molecules are approximately 80 nucleotides in length. The record is from Rfam by way of RNAcentral. Lineage: Eukaryota; Metazoa; Chordata; Mammalia; Artiodactyla; Camelidae. RNAcentral also lists the same sequence under 2 other names.